This 65-nucleotide transfer RNA is filed under the name Acanthacorydalis fruhstorferi. RNAcentral's name for it is "tRNA-Leu". The record is from RNAcentral. Lineage: Eukaryota; Metazoa; Arthropoda; Insecta; Megaloptera; Corydalidae.
UCUAAUAUGGCAGAUUAGUGCCAUGGAUUUAAGCUCCAUAAAUAAAGAGUUUUCUUUUAUUAGAA